RNAcentral lists this ribosomal RNA (483 nucleotides) under uncultured bacterium. RNAcentral describes it as "bacterial SSU rRNA". It matches the Rfam family "Bacterial small subunit ribosomal RNA", at positions 30 to 507 of the family's 1533-position model. The record is from RNAcentral.
AUUGAACGCUGGCGGAAUGCUUUACACAUGCAAGUCGAACGGUAGAGGGGGCAACCCCUUGAGAGUGGCGAACGGGUGAGUAAUAUAUCGGAACGUGCCCAGUCGUGGGGGAUAACGUAGCGAAAGUUACGCUAAUACCGCAUACGAUCUAAGGAUGAAAGCGGGGGACUCGCAAGAGCCUCGCGCGAUUGGAGCGGCCGAUAUCAGAUUUAGGUAGUUGGUGGGGUAAAGGCUCACCAAGCCAACGAUCUGUAGCUGGUCUGAGAGGACGACCAGCCACACUGGAACUGAGACACGGUCCAGACUCCUACGGGAGGCAGCAGUGGGGAAUUUUGGACAAUGGACGCAAGUCUGAUCCAGCCAUUCCGCGUGCAGGAUGAAGGCCCUCGGGUUGUAAACUGCUUUUGUACGGAACGAAAAGGUUUCUAUUAAUACUAGGAGCUCAUGACGGUACCGUAAGAAUAAGCACCGGCUAACUACGUG